RNAcentral lists this ribosomal RNA (425 nucleotides) under uncultured bacterium. Its description in RNAcentral is "partial 16S ribosomal RNA". It matches the Rfam family "Bacterial small subunit ribosomal RNA", at positions 354 to 796 of the family's 1533-position model. The record is from RNAcentral.
GUGGGGAAUCUUAGACAAUGGGCGCAAGCCUGAUCUAGCCAUGCCGCGUGAUCGAUGAAGGCCUUAGGGUUGUAAAGAUCUUUCAGUGGGGAAGAUAAUGACUGUACCCACAGAAGAAGCCCCGGCUAACUCCGUGCCAGCAGCCGCGGUAAUACGGAGGGGGCUAGCGUUGUUCGGAAUUACUGGGCGUAAAGCGCACGUAGGCGGAACAGAAAGUCAGAGGUGAAAUCCCAGGGCUCAACCCCGGAACUGCCUUUGAAACUCCCAGUCUUGAGUUCGAGAGAGGUGAGUGGAAUUCCGAGUGUAGAGGUGAAAUUCGUAGAUAUUCGGAGGAACACCAGUGGCGAAGGCGGCUCACUGGCUCGAUACUGACGCUGAGGUGCGAAAGCAUGGGGAGCAAACAGGAUUAGAUACCCUUGUAGUCC